UCUUUAAUGUAAGUGUGUCCCAUACAACAUUUGGGACAUACUUAUACUAAAA
Molecule: microRNA precursor, 52 nt
Filed under: Equus asinus (donkey)
Lineage: Eukaryota; Metazoa; Chordata; Mammalia; Perissodactyla; Equidae
Also listed under: 1 other name
Description: mir-1302 microRNA precursor family
Rfam family: mir-1302 microRNA precursor family
Source: Rfam by way of RNAcentral